GUUCAUUGAUGAGGUUCAUAGGUUCAACAAGGCUCAGCAAGAUUCCUUUUUGCCGGUGAUUGAAGAUGGUAGUGUCAUUUUCAUGGGAGCAACCACUGAAAACCCAUCAUUUCAUUUGAUUACGCCUUUAUUAUCCAGGUGCAGAGUUUUGACUCUCAAUCCUUUAAAGCCCCACCAUAUUGCUAUGCUACUCAGGCGGGCUGCCGCUGAUUCUGAUAAGGGGCUGUCCUGUUGUAUG
RNAcentral lists this unclassified non-coding RNA (238 nucleotides) under Hevea brasiliensis (rubber tree). Lineage: Eukaryota; Viridiplantae; Streptophyta; Magnoliopsida; Malpighiales; Euphorbiaceae. The record is from RNAcentral.